AACCUUGAUGGAAGAUGCUGGAAU
RNAcentral lists this non-coding RNA (24 nucleotides) under Arabidopsis thaliana (thale cress). The record is from RNAcentral. Lineage: Eukaryota; Viridiplantae; Streptophyta; Magnoliopsida; Brassicales; Brassicaceae.